Spodoptera litura is the source of this 826-nucleotide long non-coding RNA. RefSeq lists it as uncharacterized. The record is from RefSeq and is a predicted model, not a curated record. NCBI's taxonomy places the organism in Eukaryota, Metazoa, Arthropoda, Insecta, Lepidoptera, Noctuidae.
CAUAGCGACUGCAUAAUAAGCUUCUUAUGGAGCUUAGCCUAGUACCGGGGAAAUUUCGGAGAUACACCAUAGACUGCAAGAACGAAGCGUAAUAAUACAGCUGCAAUGGUUGAAGUGGUGGGACAACCCCAGCUCAUGACGUAUCUCAACAGAUUGAAGCUGCAGUUUGUGAUCGAAAUGAAGGUUUUCAACGAAACCAAGUUUCAGAUAAAGAAUUACCUGCAACUCGAAGAAUUCAUUUGAAAGCUGCAAUGGUUGAGGAGCUGGGACAAGCCCAGCUCAUGAUGCAUCUCAACAGAUUGAAGCUGCAGUUUGUGAUCGAAAUGAAGGUUUUCAGCGAAACCAAGUUUCAGAUAAAGCAACUACCUGCAACUCGAAGAAUUCAUUUAAAAGCUGCAAUGGUUGAGGAGCUGGGACAAGCCCAGCUCAUGAUGCAUCUCAACAGAUUGAAGCUGCAGUUUGUGAUCGAAAUGAAGGUUUUCAGCGAAACCAAGUUUCAUAUAAAGAAUAACCUGCAAUUCGAAGAAUUCAUUUAAAAGCUGCAAUGGUUGAGGAGCUGGGACAAACCCAGCUCAUGAUGCAUCUCAACAGAUUGAAGCUGCAGUUUGUGAUCGAAAUGAAGGUUUUCAGCGAAACCAAGUUUCAGAUAAAGCAACUACCUGCAACUCGAAGAAUUCAUUUAAAAGCUGCAAUGGUUGAGGAGCUGGGACAACCCCAGCUCAUGAUGCAUCUCAACAGAUUGAAGCUGCAGUUUGUGAUCGAAAUGAAGGUUUUCAGCGAAACCAAGUUUCAGAUAAAGAAUUACCUGCAACUCGAAGAAUUCAUU